This 67-nucleotide transfer RNA is filed under the name Glyphoglossus yunnanensis (Yunnan squat frog). RNAcentral describes it as "tRNA-Tyr". It matches the Rfam family "tRNA". Rfam says of the family: Transfer RNA (tRNA) molecules are approximately 80 nucleotides in length. Their secondary structure includes four short double-helical elements and three loops (D, anti-codon, and T loops). The record is from RNAcentral. Lineage: Eukaryota; Metazoa; Chordata; Amphibia; Anura; Microhylidae.
GGUAAAGUGGCCGAGCAGGUGGCGGGUUGUAGCCCCGAAGACGAAGGUUUAAGCCCUUCCUUUAUCA